RNAcentral lists this ribosomal RNA (468 nucleotides) under uncultured bacterium. RNAcentral describes it as "partial 16S ribosomal RNA". It matches the Rfam family "Bacterial small subunit ribosomal RNA", at positions 28 to 507 of the family's 1533-position model. The record is from RNAcentral.
GACGAACGCUGGCGGCGUGCUUAACACAUGCAAGUCGAACGGAAAGGCCCUGCUUUUGUGGGGUGCUCGAGUGGCGAACGGGUGAGUAACACGUGAGUAACCUGCCCUUGACUUUGGGAUAACUUCAGGAAACUGGGGCUAAUACCGGAUAGGAGCUCCUGCUGCAUGGUGGGGGUUGGAAAGUUUCGGCGGUUGGGGAUGGACUCGCGGCUUAUCAGCUUGUUGGUGGGGUAGUGGCUUACCAAGGCUUUGACGGGUAGCCGGCCUGAGAGGGUGACCGGCCACAAGGGGACUAAGAUACGGCCCAGACUCCUACGGGAGGCAGAGGUGGGAAAUAUUGCACAAUGGGCGGGAGCCUGAGGCAGCAAUGCCGCGAGCGGGAUGACGGCCUUCGGGUUGUAAACCGCUGUCGCCGGUGACGAAGCGUUAGUGACGGUAAUUGAUAAGGAAGCACCGGCUAACUACGUG